RNAcentral lists this ribosomal RNA (508 nucleotides) under Metschnikowia pulcherrima. RNAcentral describes it as "eukaryotic LSU rRNA". It matches the Rfam family "Eukaryotic large subunit ribosomal RNA", at positions 77 to 664 of the family's 3401-position model. The record is from RNAcentral. Lineage: Eukaryota; Fungi; Ascomycota; Pichiomycetes; Serinales; Metschnikowiaceae.
GAGCUCGUACGGCGACUGGAGCGGCAAAAGCUCAAAUUUGAAAUCCCCCGGGAAUUGUAAUUUGAAGAGAUUUGGGUCCGGCCGGCAGGGGUUAAGUCCACUGGAAAGUGGCGCCACAGAGGGUGACAGCCCCGUGAACCCCUUCAAAGCCCUCAUCCCAGAUCUCCAAGAGUCGAGUUGUUUGGGAAUGCAGCUCUAAGUGGGUGGUAAAUUCCAUCUAAAGCUAAAUACCGGCGAGAGACCGAUAGCGAACAAGUACAGUGAUGGAAAGAUGAAAAGCACUUUGAAAAGAGAGUGAAAAAGUACGUGAAAUUGUUGAAAGGGAAGGGCUUGCAAGCAGACACUUAACUGGGCCAGCAUCGGGGCGGCGGGGAGCAAAACCACCGGGGAAUGUACCUUUCGAGGAUUAUAACCCCGGCCCUUACUCCCAUACCACCCCGAGGCCUGCAAUCUAAGGAUGCUGGCGUAAUGGUUGCAAGUCGCCCGUCUUGAAAAAAAGGAACCAAAA